This is a long non-coding RNA of Lontra canadensis (Northern American river otter), 246 nucleotides long. RefSeq lists it as uncharacterized. The transcript has 3 exons. The record is from RefSeq and is a predicted model, not a curated record. Lineage: Eukaryota; Metazoa; Chordata; Mammalia; Carnivora; Mustelidae.
GGCGGCGGCGGCGGCGGGCGGGGCUCGGCUCGGGCUCCGCGGGCGGGCGGGCGGACAUGGCGGCCAACAUGUACCGGGUCGGAGAUUAUGUCUACUUUGAGAAUUCCUCCAGUAACCCGUACCUAAUCAGAAGGAUAGAAGAACUCAACAAGACUGCAACUGGCAACGUGGAAGCAAAAGUAGUGUGCUUUUAUAGACGACGAGAUAUUUCGAACACGCUUAUAAUGCUUGCAGACAAGCAUGCUA